RNAcentral lists this long non-coding RNA (677 nucleotides) under Pan troglodytes (chimpanzee). RNAcentral describes it as "long non-coding RNA NONPTRT014353". The record is from RNAcentral. Lineage: Eukaryota; Metazoa; Chordata; Mammalia; Primates; Hominidae.
UGCGGCGACUCAGGCCUGUAAUCCCAACACUCUGGAAGGCCAAGGCAGGCAGAUCACAAGAUCAGGAGUUCGAGACCAGCCUGGCCAACAUGGUGAAACCCCAUCUCGACUAAAAAUACAAAAACCCUGUCAUUGCAGCUGGAGCACUGUCCCUUCUGGCCAUGGCUGUGCACAGAGCUGCAAAGGAGGCUGGGAAAGUGGGUAUCUGGUAUUUUCUCUACCCAUAGGAAGGCUCUGCCACCUAACAAGCCUCAGGGGGUACAGAGUUCCCCCCAAAUAGGAAGGGCAUUGAGAGUUGAGAUGCCAGGCAACCAAAUCUCAGGCAAAUGUGCACAUAUCAAUCAGGUUAGGCUCAGUAAUGCUGUAGUAACAAAAACAUCUUAAAUCUGAGGGGCUUAAAAACAACCAAGGGUUAUUUCUGGGUCACGCCUACAUGUCCAGCAAGGGGCUCCAUUCCAGGACUUUCUUAACUCAGACCUCAGGCUGCUGGAGCCGCCUGAUCUCAAAUAUUUCCCACAGUCACCAUGGCAGAGGGAAGGGGUGAUUAGAGCAGCAAUUACAGGCUCCCGACCAGAAGUGACAUACGUCACUUCCACGCAUGGCUCACUGGCCAGACCUAGUCACAUGGCCCUGCCUUGGGGCCAGCAAGUGCCGUCUUGCCUCAGAUCUGGAGGGCA